GAUGAACGCUGGCGGCGUGCCUAAUACAUGCAAGUCGAACGAAACUUCUUUAUCACCGAGUGCUUGCACUCACCGAUAAAGAGUUGAGUGGCGAACGGGUGAGUAACACGUGGGCAACCUGCCCAAAAGAGGGGGAUAACACUUGGAGACAGGUGCUAAUACCGCAUAACCAUAGUUACCGCAUGGUAACUAUGUAAAAGGUGGCUAUACUACCGCUUUUGGAUGGGCCCGCGGCGCAUUAGCUAGUUGGUAGGGUAAAGGCUUACCAAGGCAAUGAUGCGUAGCCGAAUUGAGAGGUUGAUCGGCCACAUUGGGACUGAGACACGGCCCAAACUCCUACGGGAGGCAGCAGUAGGGAAUCUUCCACAAUGGGCGAAAGCCUGAUGGAGCAACGCCGCGUGGGUGAAGGAGGUCUUCGGAUCGUAAAACCCUGUUGUUAGAGAAGAAAGUGCGUGAGAGUAACUGUUCACGUUUCGACGGUAUCUAACCAGAAAGCCACGGCUAACUACGUG
RNAcentral lists this ribosomal RNA (512 nucleotides) under uncultured bacterium. RNAcentral's name for it is "partial 16S ribosomal RNA". It matches the Rfam family "Bacterial small subunit ribosomal RNA", at positions 28 to 507 of the family's 1533-position model. The record is from RNAcentral.